This 468-nucleotide ribosomal RNA is filed under the name uncultured bacterium. RNAcentral describes it as "partial 16S ribosomal RNA". It matches the Rfam family "Bacterial small subunit ribosomal RNA", at positions 28 to 507 of the family's 1533-position model. The record is from RNAcentral.
GACGAACGCUGGCGGCGUGCUUAACACAUGCAAGUCGAACGGAAAGGCCCUGCUUUUGUGGGGUGCUCGAGUGGCGAACGGGUGAGUAACACGGGAGUAACCUGCCCUUGACUUUGGGAUAACUUCAGGCAACUGGGGCUACUACCGGAUAGGAGCUCCUGCUGCAUGGGGGGGGUUGGAAAGUUUCGGAGGUGGGGGAUGGACUGGGGGCUUAUCAGCUUGUUGGGGGGGUAGCGGCUUACGGAGGGUUUGGCGGGUAGCCGGCCUGGGAGGGUGACCGGCCACAUUGGGCCUGAGAUACGGACCAGACUGCUACGGGGGGCAGCAGGGGGGAAUAUUGCACAAUGGGCGGGAGCGUGAUGCAGCAACGCCGCGUGCGGGAUGAAGGCCUUCGGGUUGGAAAGCGCAUUCACCUAUGACGAAGCGUGAGUGACGGUAAUGGGAAAAGAAGCACCGGCUAACUACGUG